Molecule: ribosomal RNA, 480 nt
Filed under: uncultured Sulfitobacter sp.
Lineage: Bacteria; Pseudomonadati; Pseudomonadota; Alphaproteobacteria; Rhodobacterales; Roseobacteraceae
Description: bacterial SSU rRNA
Rfam family: Bacterial small subunit ribosomal RNA
Source: RNAcentral
AGAGUUUGAUCCUGGCUCAGAACGAACGCUGGCGGCAGGCCUAACACAUGCAAGUCGAGCGCACCCCUUCGGGGGCGAGCGGCGGACGGGUUAGUAACGCGUGGGAACAUACCCCUUUCUACGGAAUAGCCUCGGGAAACUGAGAGUAAUACCGUAUAAGCCCUUCGGGGGAAAGAUUUAUCGGGAAGGGAUUGGCCCGCGUUAGAUUAGAUAGUUGGUGGGGUAAUGGCCUACCAAGUCUACGAUCUAUAGCUGGUUUUAGAGGAUGAUCAGCAACACUGGGACUGAGACACGGCCCAGACUCCUACGGGAGGCAGCAGUGGGGAAUCUUAGACAAUGGGCGCAAGCCUGAUCUAGCCAUGCCGCGUGUGUGAUGAAGGCCUUAGGGUCGUAAAGCACUUUCGCUAGGGAUGAUAAUGACAGUACCUAGUAAAGAAACCCCGGCUAACUCCGUGCCAGCAGCCGCGGUAAUAAGGGCGA